This 58-nucleotide non-coding RNA is filed under the name unclassified sequences. RNAcentral's name for it is "pemK RNA". It matches the Rfam family "pemK RNA". The record is from RNAcentral. RNAcentral also lists the same sequence under 1 other name.
ACAAUGGUACUUCCCUACGGGGCUGGCGGAGAACCCGGCAGAGGUGAAACUCCUAUGA